AACGAACGCUGGCGGCGUGGAUAAGACAUGCAAGUCGAACGGGAACUUCAGCUGUAGCAAUACAGUUGAAGUUUUAGUGGCGAACGGGUGCGUAACACGUGGGCAAUCUGCCGAGAAGUGGGGGAUAGCUCGCCGAAAGGCGAAUUAAUACCGCAUAUGAUCAGCUAAGACAUCUUAGCGACAUCAAAGCCGGGGCAACCUGGCGCUUUUUGAGGAGCCCGCGGCCUAUCAGCUAGUUGGUGAGGUAACGGCUCACCAAGGCUAUGACGGGUAGCUGGUCUGAGAGGACGACCAGUCACACUGGAACUGAGACACGGUCCAGACACCUACGGGUGGCAGCAGUCGAGAAUUUUUCUCAAUGGGGGCAACCCUGAAGGAGCGACGCCGCGUGGAGGAUGAAGGC
This 403-nucleotide ribosomal RNA is filed under the name uncultured bacterium. Its description in RNAcentral is "bacterial SSU rRNA". It matches the Rfam family "Bacterial small subunit ribosomal RNA", at positions 29 to 415 of the family's 1533-position model. The record is from RNAcentral.